ACUUUUUAUUGAAAGUUUUUUUGUUCUGAAAACAGCAGCUUGGUCAUAUUAUGACAGAUGUGUUUUUUAUUGCUGCAAAAUAGUUAAUGUAGUUAAAUAUAAGCACUUAGAGGAGCAAUGCCUGGCACACAGUGAAUGUUACAUAUUAGCUGAGCUGUUACUGUUAUUCCUUAAUAAUUAAGUUCUGAUAAUUAUUCAGUCUGAAAAUUAAAAAAAAAAUUAGCACAAGGCUUUGUAGGUAAGACCAUUAUAGAUCUUUCUAAAUAUUUAAGGUUUGUUUUGUGUCACCAUUAGGUGUAGAUGGUCAGCCUUUUGAACAAACUGACACUACAGAAGAGGCAGGUUUCAGCUAUCUAAAAAUGGCAACUGUUAAAAAGUAGUUGGGAUUGCUACAUUAGGGUGGUAUCAUUAGAAGUGUUUAAAAGUUGAGUGUAGAGGCUGGGUGCGGUGGCUCACAUCUGUAAUCCCAGCACGUUAGGAGGCCGAGGCGGGCAGAUCACAAGAUCAGGAGAUCGAGAUCAUUCCUGGCUAACACGGUGAAACCCCGUCUCUACUAAAAAUACAAAAAAAACUCUACUAAAACUACAAAAUUAGCCAGACAUGGUGGCAGGUGCCUGUAAUCCCAGCUACAUGGGAAGCUGAGGCAGGAGAAUUGCUUGAACCUGCACGGCAGAGGUUGCAGUGAGUUCACUGGUAUUAAGGUGGUUUAGUUAUUACAGUAUUUGGAAGUUGAACAAAUGACUCUUGAGGUACCAUUUGGUUUUGACUUGAAAUUUUAGCCAGUUCUUACAACUUGUAAAUGAACUUUAGAUCUAAUCAUGCGUGUUCCUUAAAGUUGUGUGCUUUUAACUUUCUUUUUUAGGGCAGCGGUCUUAAUUGUUUUUAUGAUCAACAAGAAUACAUAGGGAGAAGUGUUCAUUAUUGGAAGAAAGUUUUGCCAUUGUUGAAGAUAAUAAAGAAGAACAGUAUUCCUGAACCUAUUGAUCCUCUGUUUAAACAUUUUCAUAGUGUAGACAUUCAGGCAUCAGAAAUUGUUGAAUAUGAAGAAGACGCACACAUAACUUUUGCUAUAUUGGAUGCAGUACAUGGAAAUAUAAAAGAUGCUGUGACUGCUUUUGAAUCUAUACAAAGUGUUGUUUCUUAUUGGAAUCUUGCACUGAUUUUUCACAGGAAGGCAGAAGACAUUGAAAAUGAUGCCGUUUUUCCUGAAGAACAAGAAGAAUGCAAAAAUUAUCUCAGAAAGACCAGGGACUACCUAAUAAAGAUUAUAGAUGACAGUGAUUCAAAUCUUUCAGUGGUCAAGAAAGUAAGUAGCAGGUUGUUGUAUGUACGUUCUUACUGAUAACCCACUGGUCAAUGUUUUUGCGUUGGUCUUAUACUUUGGUAAUUUCAAAAAUACUCAGUAAUAUGUUGUUAUUAAUGCACAGAAGGGAUGUGUGUAUCUAAAUGCUUAUAUUUGCUUGCUUUGUCUUAGGUUUGGUGUGUCUUUUUAAACUUGGGAAUCUAGGUAUAUGCUCUUAAAAAGUACUUCUUGGGGAAUUAGAAAAGAUUUCUAAGAUAAGACAUUGAUUUUGUUAUCUUAGCAGUGUAAUCAAAACAAAUAUUAUAACCUC
RNAcentral lists this long non-coding RNA (1613 nucleotides) under Pan troglodytes (chimpanzee). RNAcentral describes it as "lncRNA (ENSPTRG00000053086.1)". Lineage: Eukaryota; Metazoa; Chordata; Mammalia; Primates; Hominidae. The record is from RNAcentral.